GCAAGUCGAGCGCAGUCCUUCGGGACCGAGCGGCGGACGGGUUAGUAACGCGUGGGAACAUACCCAGCUCUGCGGAAUAGCCUCUGGAAACGGAGAGUAAUACCGCAUACGCCCUUCGGGGGAAAGAAUUUCGGAGUUGGAUUGGCCCGCGUUAGAUUAGGUAGUUGGUGGGGUAACGGCCCACCAAGCCGACGAUCUAUAGCUGGUUUUAGAGGAUGAUC
This 221-nucleotide ribosomal RNA is filed under the name uncultured bacterium. RNAcentral describes it as "partial 16S ribosomal RNA". It matches the Rfam family "Bacterial small subunit ribosomal RNA", at positions 57 to 305 of the family's 1533-position model. The record is from RNAcentral.